Molecule: long non-coding RNA, 674 nt
Organism: Amphibalanus amphitrite
Lineage: Eukaryota; Metazoa; Arthropoda; Thecostraca; Balanomorpha; Balanidae
Exons: 3
Source: RefSeq, a predicted model, not a curated record
GAAAUCCCGGCGGUUUCUGCUAUAUAAAGCGAGGCAGCAAGUGACUGGUAUCACUCGCCUUCCUCCGGCUCUGCAGCGUUCACCUGGGCAGCUCGUCACGCAGACUCCAAAUAUGAAGACCGCCGUCGUUCUCGCCUGCCUGCUGGUGGCCGUCUCUGCCAAGCCGCAACUUGGUUUUGGAUUUGGCGGUGCCUCUGGUGGAGCUAACUCAUUCGGCACCCAGGGACAGACUUCCGGAUUCCUGGGCCAAUCCGGCAUUCAGAGUGGCGGUGCUAGCGCUGGGGGUCAGGCAUUUGGUCUGGGAUCUUCUAUCAGCGGUGCCAACAGCCAACUGGGACAGGGUUCCGGGUUCCUCGGAAGCAACCAGUUCAGCAGCCAGAACGCCUUCAGUAACCAGUUUGGACGCUAAUGAAAAGCAAAAUCGCCUCGCUUAUUUGAUGUGUGGCGGGAACGGACCAUUGCGGACGAUGGCGUAUUUGUUAUGACAUGAAAUAGAAUUCCAUUUUGACAUAGCUCAGCGCAUUUUUACGGUGAAGUGGCACAUCGCUCUCAUCGGUUGGUAAGCUUUUCGGCGAAAAUUGAGUCCCGAACAUCAUAUAGGCAUGUGUUUUGAACGUAUCACCGGAGGACCAUCGUUUUAGUGUAUGAAGUCGAAAUAAUAUAAUGAAAUGAAA